This 55-nucleotide non-coding RNA is filed under the name unclassified sequences. RNAcentral's name for it is "L20-Deltaproteobacteria ribosomal protein leader". It matches the Rfam family "L20-Deltaproteobacteria ribosomal protein leader". The record is from RNAcentral.
GACCCAGAACCGUGAGGAACGGCCCCUUGCGGAUCGGGCAAUUCAUUUAAAGGAG